UACGAAGGGGGCUAGCGUUGCUCGGAAUCACUGGGCGUAAAGGGUGCGUAGGCGGGUCUUUAAGUCAGGGGUGAAAUCCUGGAGCUCAACUCCAGAACUGCCUUUGAUACUGAAGAUCUUGAGUUCGGGAGAGGUGAGUGGAACUGCGAGUGUAGAGGUGAAAUUCGUAGAUAUCUGGAGGAACACCGGUGGCGAAGGCGGCAUCCUGGACCGAUACUGACGCUGAGGAGCGAAAGCCAGGGGAGCAAACGGG
RNAcentral lists this ribosomal RNA (253 nucleotides) under uncultured bacterium. RNAcentral's name for it is "partial 16S ribosomal RNA". It matches the Rfam family "Bacterial small subunit ribosomal RNA", at positions 524 to 776 of the family's 1533-position model. The record is from RNAcentral.